CUUACAACGCUCCACAUUCGAACUUGUGAAUAUCUGUCUAUCUUUGUUAUUAUUAUGUUUUUGCAUUCAUAAAAGCUUUAAAAUACAUGUAUCAAGAAGUAUAAAAGAUAACCAUAACGAUGUUCUCCCAAACAUCAGCAUGUGUUGAUAAGGAAAAUAUUACAGCUGCUGAAGCUGUUCAAACCAAAAAUAUCUUUGAAACACCUUCACGAACACCUUUGCAUGAUGUAAAUGGUUCUACUGCUGAAAGAAGAUACUUGACUUUAAAGGGCUCUUUCACCCCAUGCAGCAAGGCACAAACCCCUAGCAUAGCACCAGGGAAAACUGCUAAAACUCCAGUAAGAUCCCUA
This is a long non-coding RNA of Lingula anatina, 350 nucleotides long. The record is from RefSeq and is a predicted model, not a curated record. NCBI's taxonomy places the organism in Eukaryota, Metazoa, Brachiopoda, Lingulata, Lingulida, Lingulidae.